AACGCUGGCGGCGUGCCUAACACAUGCAAGUCGAACGGAGAUAUCAAUGAAGCUUGCGAUUUGAUAUCUUAGUGGCGGACGGGUGAGUAACGCGUGGGUAAUCUGCCCAUAAGUGGGGAACAACAGUUGGAAACGACUGCUAAUACCGCAUACCUUGAGCAAUCAAGAAAGGUGGCCUCUGAAUAUGCUGCCGCUUAUGGAUGAGCCCGCGUCUGAUUAGCUAGUUGGUGGGGUAACGGCCUACCAAGGCAACGAUCAGUAGCCGGCCUGAGAGGGUGAACGGCCACACUGGGACUGAGACACGGCCCAGACUCCUACGGGAGGCAGCAGUGGGGAAUAUUGCGCAAUGGGGGAAACCCUGACGCAGCGACGCCGCGUGAGCGAUGAAGGCCUUAGGGUUGUAAAGCUCUGUUUUAAGGGACGAAUGUCUAGGGGAGUAAUAUGCCCUUAGAAUGACGGUACCUUAAGAGGAAGCCCCGGCUAACUACGUGCCAGCAGCCGCGGUAAGACGUAGGGGGC
This 519-nucleotide ribosomal RNA is filed under the name uncultured Pelospora sp. RNAcentral's name for it is "bacterial SSU rRNA". It matches the Rfam family "Bacterial small subunit ribosomal RNA", at positions 32 to 535 of the family's 1533-position model. Lineage: Bacteria; Bacillati; Bacillota; Clostridia; Eubacteriales; Syntrophomonadaceae. The record is from RNAcentral.